GAUAACUGGCUUGUGGCGGCCAAGCGUUCAUAGCGACGUCGCUCUUUGAUGUCGGCUCUUCCUGUCUUUGUGAAGGAGAAUUCACCAAGCGUUGGAUUGUUCGCCCACUAAUGAGGCCUGGAUCCAGUGCAGUGC
RNAcentral lists this non-coding RNA (135 nucleotides) under Patagioenas fasciata monilis. RNAcentral describes it as "Eukaryotic large subunit ribosomal RNA". It matches the Rfam family "Eukaryotic large subunit ribosomal RNA", at positions 2825 to 2974 of the family's 3401-position model. The record is from Rfam by way of RNAcentral. Lineage: Eukaryota; Metazoa; Chordata; Aves; Columbiformes; Columbidae.